GAUGAACGCUGGCGGCGUGCCUAAUACAUGCAAGUCGAGCGAACAGACGAGGAGCUUGCUCCUCUGACGUUAGCGGCGGACGGGUGAGUAACACGUGGAUAACCUACCUAUAAGACUGGGAUAACUUCGGGAAACCGGAGCUAAUACCGGAUAAUAUAUUGAACCGCAUGGUUCAAUAGUGAAAGACGGUUUUGCUGUCACUUAUAGAUGGAUCCGCGCCGCAUUAGCUAGUUGGUAAGGUAACGGCUUACCAAGGCGACGAUGCGUAGCCGACCUGAGAGGGUGAUCGGCCCCACUGGAACUGAGACACGGUCCAGACUCCUACGGGAGGCAGCAGUAGGGAAUCUUCCGCAAUGGGCGAAAGCUUGACGGAGCAACGCCGCGUGAGUGAUGAAGGUCUUCGGAUCGUAAAACUCUGUUAUUAGGGAAGAACAAAUGUGUAAGUAACUAUGCACGUCUUGACGGUACCUAAUCAGAAAGCCACGGCUAACUACGUG
Molecule: ribosomal RNA, 497 nt
Filed under: uncultured bacterium
Lineage: Bacteria
Description: partial 16S ribosomal RNA
Rfam family: Bacterial small subunit ribosomal RNA
Source: RNAcentral